Molecule: long non-coding RNA, 493 nt
Filed under: Brassica napus (rape)
Lineage: Eukaryota; Viridiplantae; Streptophyta; Magnoliopsida; Brassicales; Brassicaceae
Description: long non-coding RNA (BNAP_LNC002925)
Source: RNAcentral
UAUUUAUUAUUCAUAAUCAUUAAUUGAUAUAUAUAUAUAUAUUAAUCAUAUUAGGUAAUUUCAUAGCUUUUAUUUAAGGAAAGUGUGAGAAUAUUUUUUGUACAUUAUUUAUCAAUUUGAUAGUUAGUUUAAUAAAAAGUAUAAUAUAAGUUAAGAUGGACCAACCUAUUUUUCUAUAAUUCUGAAUUUUAUACUCAUGGUGACACUUUGAUACAAAACAAUGUUGUAAUGUUUUUCAAUUAAUAUAUAAGGGAUAACUUAAAUCAGAUAAAUUCUGACGCAUUGCAACAUUCUUGUUGUAUUAUUUUCAUCACGACCUGAUUGAUCUUCACGUUGUACUAUCUCUACACCUCCAUCACCUGGAACAUGGAAAAACAAACUUAAAAGAUCAAGUUUUGGUCGUAAAACUUUUAAUCUGAUCAAACAAAUAAAAAAUUUAACAGACGCUGAGAAUAUAGUGUCCGAGUUUCUUCCAACUGUGACAUCUCCAAAU